This is a long non-coding RNA of Oncorhynchus gorbuscha (pink salmon), 476 nucleotides long. RefSeq lists it as uncharacterized. The transcript has 3 exons. NCBI's taxonomy places the organism in Eukaryota, Metazoa, Chordata, Actinopteri, Salmoniformes, Salmonidae. The record is from RefSeq and is a predicted model, not a curated record.
UGAUAUGAGGGUAGGUUAGUGUUAUGAUAUGAGGGUAGGUUAGUGUUAUGAUAUGAGGGUAGGUUAGUGUUAUGAUAUGAGGGUAGGUUAGUGUUAUGAUAUGAGGGUAGGUUAGUGUUAUGAUAUGAGGGUAGGUUAGUGUUAUGAUAUGAGGGUAGGUUAGUGUUAUGAUAUGAGGGUAGGUUAGUGUUAUGAUAUGAGGGUACGUUAGUGUUAUGAUAUGAGGGUAGGUUAGUGUUAUGAUAUGAGGGUAGGUUAGUGUUAUGAUAUGAGGGUAGGUUAGUGUUAUGAUAUGAGGGUAGGUUAGUCUUAUGAUAUGAGGGUAGGUUAGUGUUAUGAUAUGAGGGUAGGUUAGUGUUAUGAUAUGAGGGUAGGUUAGUGUUAUGAUAUGAGGGUAGGUUAGUGUUAUGAUAUGAGGGUAGGUUAGUGUUAUGAUAUGAGGGUAGGUUAGUGUUAUGAUAUGAGGGUAGGUAAGU